This 410-nucleotide long non-coding RNA is filed under the name Cyanistes caeruleus (blue tit). Its description in RNAcentral is "lncRNA (ENSCCEG00000020129.1)". The record is from RNAcentral. Lineage: Eukaryota; Metazoa; Chordata; Aves; Passeriformes; Paridae.
CCCCUCUCCCAGCAGAAAUUCAGAAAGGGCAGUACUUGAUCUGCCCAGCUGGUGAGGAGGAGGGUUCCAGUGGGCAUGUCCACACUCUGGCUUUCUAGAUCAGAAGGAAAACAAUUCCUUGCCUCUUCUGGAAUGAAUUCUGUACCUGAGAAUGGCAAAACAGAUCAGUACCCUCCAGUGGAAGCUAAUGAUCCUGGACUAAAAAGAAAAACAAUAGCACAAAGUGAAUCUCAUUCUCAGGAAAGGUUCUGGGCUGAUACAACCAGUAUGCAAAAAGGUAUGUUCUUUUAAAAAUGUUCCACACAUGAACUGUAGGAAAAUCAAGAAAAGCAUGAGCUGCUGAGCAUCCUGUUCAUCUGAAAGUGAGUGGAGGGAAGGACAUUCAGCAUUCCACAGGUUGGACUUUCUCU